RNAcentral lists this ribosomal RNA (325 nucleotides) under uncultured eukaryote. Its description in RNAcentral is "partial 18S ribosomal RNA". It matches the Rfam family "Eukaryotic small subunit ribosomal RNA", at positions 1470 to 1796 of the family's 1831-position model. The record is from RNAcentral.
CCCUUAGAUGUCCUGGGCCGCACGCGCGCUACACUGAUGCAUUCAACGAGCCUAUCCUUGACCGACAGGUCCGGGUAAUCUUUGAAUCUGCAUCGUGACGGGGAUAGAUUAUUGCAAUUAUUAAUCUUCAACGAGGAAUGCCUAGUAGGCGCAAGUCAUCAGCUUGCGUCGAUUACGUCCCUGCCCUUUGUACACACCGCCCGUCGCUCCUACCGAUUGGGUGUGCUGGUGAAAUGUUAGGAUCGGCCGUUUGUCGCGGUUUCCGCGGCUCGUGGCUGAGAAGUUCAUUAAACCCUCCCACCUAGAGGAAGGAGAAGUCGUAACA